AGAGUUUGAUCCUGGCUCAGAACGAACGCUGGCGGCGCGUUUUAAGCAUGCAAGUCGAGCGGCAAGGGCCUUCGGGCCCCUAGAGCGGCGGACGGGUGAGUAACACGUGGACAAUCUGCCCCCCGGUCCGGGAUAGCCCAGGGAAACCUGGAUUAAUACCGGAUGCGAGCGCGAGCACACAGGUGCUUGCGGGGAAAGGCGCUUCGGCGCCGCCGGGGGAUGAGUCCGCGGCCCAUUAGCUAGACGGCGGGGUAAAGGCCCACCGUGGCGACGAUGGGUAGCCGGCCUGAGAGGGUGAUCGGCCACAUUGGAACUGAGACACGGUCCAGACUCCUACGGGAGGCAGCAGCUAAGAAUCUUCCGCAAUGGGCGAAAGCCUGACGGAGCGACGCCGCGUGAACGAUGAAGGCCGUGAGGUUGUAAAGUUCUUUUCGGGAGGGGGAAUAAGCGGGGCAGGAAAUGGCCCUGCGAUGACGUGAAUCCCGGAAUAAGCCCCGGCUAACUACGUGCCAGCAGCCGCGGUAACACGUAGGGGGCGAGCGUUGUUCGGAAUCAUUGGGCGUAAAGGGCGUGCAGGCGGCCCUGCAAGUCCGGCGUGAAAUGCCCCGGCUCAACCGGGGAGACGCGCUGGAAACUGCGGGGCUGGAGUACAGGAGGGGAUGCCGGAAUUCCAGGUGUAGGGGUGAAAUCUGUAGAUAUCUGGAGGAACACCAAUGGCGAAGGCAGGCAUCUGGCCAUGUACUGACGCUGAGACGCGAAGGUGCGGGGAGCAAACAGGUUUAGAUACCCUGGUAGUCCGCACAGUAAACGAUGUGCACCAGGUGGCGGGGGGUCGACCCCCGGUACCGAAGCUAACGCAUUAAGUGCACCGCCUGGGGAGUAUGCUCGCAAGGGUGAAACUCAAAGGAAUUGACGGGGGCCCGCACAAGCGGUGGAGCAUGUGGUUUAAUUCGAUGAUACGCGAGGAACCUUACCUACUCUUGACAUCCAGAGAACUUAGCAGAGAUGCUUUGGUGCCUUCGGGAACUCUGAGACAGGUGCUGCAUGGCUGUCGUCAGCUCGUGUUGUGAAAUGUUGGGUUAAGUCCCGCAACGAGCGCAACCCUUAUCCUUUGUUGCCAGCGGUCCGGCCGGGAACUCAAAGGAGACUGCCAGUGAUAAACUGGAGGAAGGUGGGGAUGACGUCAAGUCAUCAUGGCCCUUACGAGUAGGGCUACACACGUGCUACAAUGGCGCAUACAAAGAGAAGCGACCUCGCGAGAGCAAGCGGACCUCAUAAAGUGCGUCGUAGUCCGGAUUGGAGUCUGCAACUCGACUCCAUGAAGUCGGAAUCGCUAGUAAUCGUAGAUCAGAAUGCUACGGUGAAUACGUUCCCGGGCCUUGUACACACCGCCCGUCACACCAUGGGAGUGGGUUGCAAAAGAAGUAGGUAGCUUAACCUUCGGGAGGGCGCUUACCACUUUGUGAUUCAUGACUGGGGUGAAGUCGUAACAAGGUAGCC
This 1500-nucleotide ribosomal RNA is filed under the name uncultured bacterium. Its description in RNAcentral is "bacterial SSU rRNA". It matches the Rfam family "Bacterial small subunit ribosomal RNA". The record is from RNAcentral.